UCGUAACAAGGUUUCCGUAGGUGAACCUGCGGAAGGAUCAUUACUGAGUGAGGGCCCUCUGGGUCCAACCUCCCACCCGUGUUUAUUGUACCUUGUUGCUUCGGCGGGCCCGCCUUUACGGCCGCCGGGGGGCUCACGCUCCCGGGCCCGCGCCCGCCGAAGACACCCUCGAACUCUGUCUGAAGAUUGUAGUCUGAGUGGAAUUAUAAAUUAUUUAAAACUUUCAACAACGGAUCUCUUGGUUCCGGCAUCGAUGAAGAACGCAGCGAAAUGCGAUACGUAAUGUGAAUUGCAGAAUUCAGUGAAUCAUCGAGUCUUUGAACGCACAUUGCGCCCCCUGGUAUUCCGGGGGGCAUGCCUGUCCGAGCGUCAUUGCUGCCCUCAAGCACGGCUUGUGUGUUGGGCCCCGUCCCCCAAUCCCGGGGGACGGGCCCGAAAGGCAGCGGCGGCACCGCGUCCGGUCCUCGAGCGUAUGGGGCUUUGUCACCCGCUCUGUAGGCCCGGCCGGCGCUUGCCGAUCAACCAAACUUUUAUCCAGGUUGACCUCGGAUCAGGUAGGGAUACCCGCUGAACCUAAGCAUAUC
This 584-nucleotide unclassified non-coding RNA is filed under the name Penicillium madriti. Its description in RNAcentral is "sequence contains 18S rRNA gene, ITS1, 5.8S rRNA gene, ITS2, 28S rRNA gene". The stretch from base 219 to 372 matches the Rfam family "5.8S ribosomal RNA". Lineage: Eukaryota; Fungi; Ascomycota; Eurotiomycetes; Eurotiales; Aspergillaceae. The record is from RNAcentral.